UACGUAGGGUGCGAGCGUUGUCCGGAAUUAUUGGGCGUAAAGAGCUUGUAGGCGGUUUGUCGCGUCUGCUGUGAAAUCUCAAGGCUCAACCUUGAGCUUGCGGUGGAUACGGGCAGGCUGGAGGCUGGUAGGGGCAAGCGGAAUUCCUGGUGUAGCGGUGAAAUGCGCAGAUAUCAGGAGGAACACCGGUGGCGAAGGCGGAUCUCUGGGCCUUACCUGACGCUCAGGUGCGAAAGCUAGGGGAGCGAACAGG
Molecule: ribosomal RNA, 253 nt
Filed under: uncultured bacterium
Lineage: Bacteria
Description: partial 16S ribosomal RNA
Rfam family: Bacterial small subunit ribosomal RNA
Source: RNAcentral